This 441-nucleotide transfer-messenger RNA is filed under the name Candidatus Omnitrophota bacterium. It matches the Rfam family "transfer-messenger RNA". Rfam says of the family: Bacterial tmRNA, also known as 10Sa RNA or SsrA, is named for its dual tRNA and mRNA-like properties. The record is from RNAcentral. Lineage: Bacteria; Pseudomonadati; Candidatus Omnitrophota.
AAAGGGUUCGACUUAGGAUAAUUGUAUAAUAGCAGCAUGUCGAGGUGGUCGGGAGGCCUCGUCCCGUAAGGGGCCCUGAGCUUUAUCGAAGGGUAAAACACCUGGCAAAACAAUAAACGCUGAAACUAAAAUUCCAGCUAGCGUAGAUGCACUUCUUGCGAAAAUCGGAUCAGGUAUUUCGCAUCCGUCCUUCACAGGAUUUGUACCUGCACCCGCGUUGCUUUUGAGAUAAAGCAACCCGUUUUACAGUUUGUGCCUGUGGGAUUGUAAAACGUCAUUAACAGGAUCGCCGUACCUGGUUUGCUUUUGACAGAUACGGUCAAAAGUUCAAAAGCUGCCUUUUUUAAUACCCUGUCUAGCGGGGAUUAAAAAAGAAAGCUUCAUAGAUAGACUAAACAUGUAGAUACUAUUAUUAGUUACUUAAGGACGCGGGUUCGAUCA